CCUACGGGAUGCAGCAGUGAGGAAUAUUGGUCAAUGGGCGCGAGCCUGAACCAGCCAAGUCGCGUGAGGGAAGACGGUCCUAUGGAUUGUAAACCUCUUUUGUCGGGGAGCAAAAGACGCCACGCGUGGCGUUCCGAGAGUACCCGAAGAAAAAGCAUCGGCUAACUCCGUGCCAGCAGCCGCGGUAAUACGGAGGAUGCGAGGUUUAUCCGGAUUGUUUGGGUUUAAAGGGUGCGCAGGCGGAAGAUCAAGUCAGCGGGAAAAUUGAGAGGCUCAACCUCUUCGAGCCGUUGAAACUGGUUUUCUUGAGUGAGUGAGAGGUAAGCGGAAUGCGUGGUGUAGCGGUGAAAUGCAUAGAUAUCACGCAGAACUCCGAUUGCGAAGGCAGCAUACCGGCGCUCAACUGACGCUCAUGCACGAAAGUGUGGGUAUCGAACAGGAUUAGAUACCCCGGUAGUC
This 459-nucleotide ribosomal RNA is filed under the name uncultured bacterium. RNAcentral's name for it is "partial 16S ribosomal RNA". It matches the Rfam family "Bacterial small subunit ribosomal RNA", at positions 338 to 795 of the family's 1533-position model. The record is from RNAcentral.